Molecule: transfer RNA, 71 nt
Filed under: Candidatus Omnitrophota bacterium
Lineage: Bacteria; Pseudomonadati; Candidatus Omnitrophota
Description: Candidatus Omnitrophica bacterium tRNA-Gly
Rfam family: tRNA
About the family: Transfer RNA (tRNA) molecules are approximately 80 nucleotides in length. Their secondary structure includes four short double-helical elements and three loops (D, anti-codon, and T loops).
Source: RNAcentral
GCGAGCGUAGUUCAAUGGUAGAACAAUAGCCUUCCAAGCUAUAUAUGUCGGUUCGAUUCCGAUCGCUCGCU